AUGCACUAAAGCUUUGUCCUUACGGAAAAGCGCAUUUAUUAGAACAAAACCACGCGGCUUCGGCUGCCUUUUGUUGACUCAGAAUAACUAAGCUGACCGCAUGGCCUCAGUGCCGGCGGCGUGUCUUUCAAGCGUCCACUUUAUCAACUUGACGGGAGCAUAAUCGACUCCCGUGGUUGUGACGGAUAACGGAGGAUCAGGGUUCGACUCCGGAGAAGGGGCCUGAGAAAUGGCCACUACGUCUAAGGAUGGCAGCAGGCGCGCAAAUUACCCACUCUCGGCUCGAGGAGGUAGUGACGAGAAAUAACGAGACCGUUCUCUUUGAGGCCGGUCAUCGGAAUGGGUACAAUUUAAACCCUUUAACGAGUAUCAAGGAGAGGGCAAGUCUGGUGCCAGCAGCCGCGGUAAUUCCAGCUUCUCCUAAUGCAUAGAAUUAUUGCUGCGGUUAAAAAGCUCGUAGUUGGAUUCGUAUCGAUACUCUGGAACCCUUCGGGUGUUUCUGGAUGUUAUCGAUUUUAUCGUAAUGUUCGGUUUUGAGUCCUUAACAGGAUUCUUAACAGGCAUUGCAAGUUUACUUUGAACAAAUCAGAGUGCUUCAAACAGGCGUAUUCGCUUGAAUGAUCGUGCAUGGAAUAAUAGAAAACGAUUUCGGUUCAGUUUUAUUGGUUUUACGGACUGAGAUAAUGGUUAACAGAGACAAACGGGGGCAUUUGUAUGGCCACGUGAGAGGUGAAAUUCUUGGACCGUGGCCAGACAAACUACAGCGAAAGCAUUUGCCAAGAAUGUCUUCAUUAAUCAAGAACGAAAGUCAGAGGUUCGAAGGCGAUCAGAUACCGCCCUAGUUCUGACCGUAAACGAUGCCAACUAGCGAUCCGCCGAUGGAGUAUUAUAUUGCCUUGGUGGGGAGCUUCCCGGAAACGAAAGUCUUCCGGUUCCGGGGGAAGUAUGGUUGCAAAGCUGAAACUUAAAGGAAUUGACGGAAGGGCACCACCAGGAGUGGAGCCUGCGGCUUAAUUUGACUCAACACGGGAAAACUCACCCGGCCCGGACACUGUGAGGAUUGACAGAUUGAUAGCUUUUUCAUGAUUCAGUGGAUGGUGGUGCAUGGCCGUUCUUAGUUCGUGGAGUGAUUUGUCUGGUUUAUUCCGAUAACGAGCGAGACUCUAACCUACUAAAUAGUUGGUAUUUAUUUAUGAAUAUACAACUUCUUAGAGGGAUUUGCGGUGUUUAGCCGAAAGAAAUUGAGCAAUAACAGGUCUGUGAUGCCCUUAGAUGUCCGGGGCUGCACGCGCGCUACACUGGCAAAAUCAACGUGCUUGUCCUUCCCCGAAAGGGGCGGGUAAACCAUUGAAAAUUUGCCGUGAUUGGGAUCGGAAAUUGCAAUUAUUUUCCGUGAACGAGGAAUUCCAAGUAAGUGCGAGUCAUCAGCUCGCGUUGAUUACGUCCCUGCCCUUUGUACACACCGCCCGUCGCUGCCCGGGACUGAGCCAUUUCGAGAAAUUUGGGGACCGUUGAUUAAACAUUUAUUUGUUUUUUUAGUGGAAACCAAUUUAAUCGCAGUGGCUUGAACCGGGC
RNAcentral lists this ribosomal RNA (1575 nucleotides) under Meloidogyne exigua. RNAcentral's name for it is "SSU rRNA". It matches the Rfam family "Eukaryotic small subunit ribosomal RNA", at positions 171 to 1783 of the family's 1831-position model. The record is from RNAcentral. Lineage: Eukaryota; Metazoa; Nematoda; Chromadorea; Rhabditida; Meloidogynidae.